GAUUUUUUUUUGCGAUUAACGAUUCGUUUUCUUGUUCUUUGUCCGGCCGUCACCCCCGGAAUUGGAUUCUAACUCCACGUUUUCUGGCCGCCUUAAUUUCUAACUCUCCCCAUAAAUCUGCUCGGGAAGAAGCGGCGAGGGCUGAUCUCGUGGAGGCGGAGGCGGAGCAGCAGCCAAGGACGCCUCUGCUUCGAAGUCUACCCCCGUUCUCCCUCCAUGCGAACGCCGGCGAGAUCAAGCGUGGCGGCGCGCGGGAAUCCGGUCGCGAAUCUAAGCAUUAAGAGACACCUAAGGCGGGAGAGCUGAGGCCGGCGGCGCCCUCCACUUAAGCGCCAUCGGCUGCGCGACAAGAGAACUCCUACCCGUCCGUGGGUGUGGGGAUGCAGAUCCCCGUCGCUAGCCUGCACAAGGCCACGGUUGAUGCGCCGACGCAGGGGUCACCGCCGUCUUCGUCAGGUGACUUUUUCAUGCCAUUUAUACAUCUGAAAAGUAGAGAAUACCCUCUAAAUCAAAGCAACAGAUUUGUGGAUUUGUGGAAUUGGUGUUGUUCCGUUUCCACCUGGCCAAUCAUCUUUGGUCACUGAUUCUGAGGUACGUGGUUGUUUUAUGUUAAUCCCAUUUAGUUUUGCACUUCAUGGCCUGGGUGGCCGCUGGACACCCGGCACACGGUCUAGAUCAGCCCUAACAUUCAGGCCAUUAGCUUAAAAAAUGUUGGUAGCUGAACACGUAAAUCAUCUACAGCUGUUGUAAAAGGAGACUACUGUUUGUUGACAAUCACACAUCAGUGCUGCUGUACUGUAUGAUUUUUCUUUUAUGAUUGUUUCCGUUUGAGCCUUGUAGCUGUACUUUCUAUGGUUCCUAACAUGGUUGUAGGUUAGAUGUUUCUGUUGGUUUGUCUUGCUGUAGAAUCUGCCAAUAUUCAUUUGUUACACAUUUUAUUAUGUAGAUGUACUUUCUGUGGUUCCUAACAUGGCUGCUUUACAGAAUAUUGAUGGGGGUAACACAAACAUGGGAGGCCUAUUAACUUCUGCUGCAGACCUAAAUUUCUUGCAGAUUUAAUUCAUUUGUAUUCAUGUAAUUGGUCGAGGUGAGAAUGAUAUGCCGUUGUUCAUGCCAAAGGCUGUGACACAUUUCUUUCUUUUUGCGAUAGUGCAAAUUGAUUGAUGAUGCAGCGCAACUAGCACAAGUUCAUCAUAUGGCUGUCUGCAUCACUAUGAUAUAGAGGCCCGGGGUUUAAUCUCCUUUUCAAAAAAGCACAAGUUCAUCGUGUCCUCUCCACAUCUAUGGAUAUCAGGUUCAAUAUCCAUGAUUUCUUAUCGAGUUAUUACUCGACCUUUUUUAAUCAUGGUACAAUAGUCGAUUUUUUAAAUAAAAAAACGACCUCCAUGGAUGUCACCCGCCAUUGGCAUUUAGCGAGCCAAUAUAUCACUACUUUGAUGGAUACAAUAGAAGUAAUUAUGUACACAUAUACGUGAUUCUAAAUUGUACUUAACAUGGGGUAUUUAAUUCUUUUAGCAGAUUAAACGAUCAUGUUGCUCUCUAAGUAAGUUGAGGAAAAGGAGCACAAUCCAGAGUCCGCCACCUAUGUUUCUAUUAUGGCAUCACCUACGAGCUGGUCCUAUGCGUUCAGUCUGCACAUGCGCUGAACGAGCCAUCCACUAUUUGGUGCCGCUGCUGGCUAAUCAUGGUUAUGGGUUGCUGAUGUAUUGGAGUUCGACCACUCUGAGAAAGGCGAUGCUCUGCAUGGUAAGUUUCUUAUGGCUGUGGCUGUUUUUCCUGAUGUGUUCACAUGAGGGGUAUAUUUUAGGUAUGUAGUUAUUUUGGUCCAGAUGUUGACAAAGGAUGAAGCAUGUGAUUUUCAAGAGGCAAGUUCCCUUGGAUAAUUAUGUGCAUUCUGAUGAGUACGUACCUGAGAAAAAUUCAAGAGGCUUUAGUGAGUUGAUUGUGCCCACAAGAGGUUGUCUUGCUUAGACUUGGUGUAACACAUGUCUAUGUAUCAGUAAAUUGAGAUGUUGUUACCGGGAUAUCAAUUCCGCUACCA
Triticum aestivum (bread wheat) is the source of this 2041-nucleotide long non-coding RNA. RefSeq lists it as uncharacterized. Lineage: Eukaryota; Viridiplantae; Streptophyta; Magnoliopsida; Poales; Poaceae. The transcript has 2 exons. The record is from RefSeq and is a predicted model, not a curated record.